CUGACUGUGCAAAGGUAGCAUAAUCAAUUGGCCUCUAAUUAAGGUCUGGAAUGAACGAACUUAUGGGUAGCAACUGUCUUAAAAUAGUUUAUUAAAUUGAUCAAUAAGUGCAAAUACUUAUUCAAUUAUAUUAGACGAGAAGACCCUAGAAACUUAUAAUUAUUUUGUUGGGGCGACAGAAUUACAUAAAACUAAUUUUAUUUUACGGGACGUAAAACAGAAAGAAAAAGUUACUCUAGGGAUAACAGCAUAAUUUUAAUAGCUUGUGACCUCGAUGUUGGACUAGGUAGAUGGCUUUUUAGAAGAAAGC
Molecule: ribosomal RNA, 310 nt
Filed under: Cornu aspersum (brown garden snail)
Lineage: Eukaryota; Metazoa; Mollusca; Gastropoda; Stylommatophora; Helicidae
Description: Helix aspersa (brown garden snail) partial 16S ribosomal RNA
Source: RNAcentral